This is a long non-coding RNA of Micropterus dolomieu (smallmouth bass), 2512 nucleotides long. RefSeq lists it as uncharacterized. NCBI's taxonomy places the organism in Eukaryota, Metazoa, Chordata, Actinopteri, Centrarchiformes, Centrarchidae. The transcript is spliced from 4 exons. The record is from RefSeq and is a predicted model, not a curated record.
GGCUUGUAAAAGUCGAUUAGACAUGAACGAGGAGCUGGGAUUGAUGCCUGCCCUUUGGGGAAGGAUUUUGGUGAAAGGCUCUCAGAGCAGCUUGGAUUUAUUCCAGUGGUGAAAAAGAUACGCAAGAUGGGACAGAUAAGUGAUUUAUCAGAUAUACUUGUCUGUCAUUGCUUUUGUGCCUGUAUGUGUCAUUAUGGAUUAACAAGACUGAAGGAAUGACAGCUUGGUGACAGGACUGAGUUUUACUCAUCUAACUUGCGCUGUGAUCAGUACAGUAUAUGCAAUGCACACAAAGAACAGAUACUUUAUCAUCAUACUUCAAUGGACGUUCACCCACACAGAUACAAACGGAAUGUCCCCCCACACACACACACUCAGACGCACUCCCUCUCUUGACACCAGUGAAACAAUCUAACCAUGCAGAGUUCAGACUCCUUCCCUCCCCCUCUCUUCUCUUCUUUCCUCUCUCCCCCAUUCCUCCCUCAUUCCCUAUCUUCCCCCUCAGGAUAGGUUCAGGGUAAGGGCAGCUGAGAGAGGGAGAGGAUGGAGGAAGAGAAGGUAUGGAAGGAGGUGCAGCAGCAGCAGCAGCUGUCCACUAAUGAAGUGCCUGGCUCCCACUAUAAACCACUACAGACAGAUUUAGCCAGAGGAGCUCCAGUGACUGAUGUUCCGUCCUUCAUGUGUGGAUUGAUGGGCACAUCUGCUCCGCACUUAAGGCCGACACUCCUCUCCCCAAGUCCCAUCCUGACCCUCGCCAGCCUGGCUUGACUCUACCUCAACGGAUCCUGACCUUCCUCAGCCUGGCCGGGCCUGGCACAACGCGGCUUGCGUUGGCCCAGGCUGCUCUUACCGGUGGACGAGGGGGAGGCUGAACCUUGGGGCUAGCAGAUAUACGAGGCCUAACUGCUUUUUCAUUAAGCGGACUGUCAGUAUGAAAAAGCCCUUUCUUUUACCUUGUUUUGCUUCUGCUUUCUCUCUCGUACUCCUCCUCCUACGCCUCAUAUGUCUCCCUAAUACUUUUACGUUCAAGGACGGAGCAGUCGUUAGGUGCUUCACAGUGGAGAGGAGCUGAAAUGAAGGUGCGUCAUUCUAAACUGCUCCCAUUUCCAUAUGGAGAGAGAUGCUCCCGACAUUUCCUCCUCGUCAUGAGCUCGGAGAGUCCAAACUCCCAUCUGUCUUCGGUGUGUUUCUUUGCACAGGACGCUUUUAGUCACACUUGUCUGUGUCUCUGUGUGUCCAUCUGCAAGCCAGUCCCAAAGCAGAGAGGGGUUGCAUUCCGGAAAGCUGUGUAAUAAAUGCUGUUGCCGCACGACGGGAGCAACACACCUUACAUCGUUUUUUAGACGACACAUAAGCAAAAAAGUCCAGGUUUUUCUUUUUUAUGUCAAAAACAAUACAUCUCUGUUAUCUCUUCUUUCUCCACAGUGGCAUGAAAAUCGACACAAUUACUGAUAGUACUUCAAAGACGUUGCCACUCAUACAGCUAGACACAAACACACACACACACACACUCUUCAUCACAUUCGCACGCUCAAAUCAAACGUUUGUUACUGGACAUGCAAACAAAACAAUAAAAAGCAAAACAAAAAUAUCACACAAAAAAAGAAACUUUCAAAUCAAAAGUACAUUAUCCGCUGGAGCAGGGCUUCUCGAUUAUAUUACAUUCUUCUUAUUGUCUCUGUUUUAUGCUGUUAAAUCAUUCAUAGUAAUUCCAGUACAUUGCUGGGUGGCCACAAGCAUGUGGCAGCUAGUUUGUCAAGUUGACCUGUUGUGACGGUGGACGUCCCAGACGCUCGGGGGUGGAUUUGUCAUCUCGGUGUCAGAGGAGACUCCAAGGAGAGCAGGGGAAAGCAGGAGGAGGAAGACAAAGAGGAAGAGGAGGAAGAAUUCUGGUCGUGGCAAGCAAGGCUCUGUGUUGCAAGGAGCAAGGAUCCUGUUCAUGAUGGACGGCAGCAGCUGUGGAGAAAGGAAAGGGGGGAAGGAAAAGAGAGGCUGCAUCAGUCAUGGUGGUUUUGAAUAUAAACAAUUUCUGCUUGGCAUCCAGUCCUGACCAACAAUACAGCUCUGCAGCUCCAGCCCAAUGGAACAUUCGACUCAUCUGCUAAACAAAAUCGAAUGCCAAAGCCAGAGCAUCCGGAGACGGCGAGCGGCCGCCCUACAGGGAGAAAAUAUGGAUUUCGUGGCAACGAUGUAUUAACUUGUGUGCACCACAUGCUGUUGUGUGUACAUAAUAUAUGAAACAUGCCCUUGACUUACUAGCACACAUCAAAAGCAGACAUUUAACUAGCUCCUAAAUGAAUACUCUAUGUAUAGAUUCAACAGCCAGUGCAACCGCAGCAUGCUUUUUUAUAAUGCCAACUGAAAUAAAUCCUUUGUAGGGCUAUCAAGCUGAAAUGUUGAUUAAUUAUAUCACAUCAACAUCCAAUUCAUUAUGUGUUGUUUCAUGUUCAAAAAAGGCUUGUUCAGGAUUUUUGUUCUCUUUGUAUUACAUGACUUAACUGAAAUACCUGAA